This 460-nucleotide ribosomal RNA is filed under the name uncultured bacterium. Its description in RNAcentral is "partial 16S ribosomal RNA". It matches the Rfam family "Bacterial small subunit ribosomal RNA", at positions 28 to 507 of the family's 1533-position model. The record is from RNAcentral.
GACGAACGCUGGCGGCGUGCUUAACACGUGCAAGUCGAACGGUAAGGCUCCAGCUUGCUGGGGUACACGAGUGGCGAACGGGUGAGUAACACGUGGGUGACCUGCCCUGCACUUCGGGAUAAGCCUGGGAAACUGGGUCUAAUACCGGAUAGGACCAUGAUGUGGAUACUGUGGUGGAAAGUUUUUUCGGUGUGGGAUGGGCCUGCGGCCUAUCAGCUUGUGGGUGGGGUAAUGGCCUACCAAGGCGGCGACGGGGAGCCGGCCGGGGAGGGUGGACGGCCGGACUGGGACUGGGACACGGCCCAUACUCCUGCGGGCGGCGGCAGUGGGUGAUUUUGGACUAGGGGGGAAACCCUGAUGCAGCGCCGCCCCGGGAUUUAGAAGGCCUUCGGGUUGUAAAACUCUUUGCUAUGGGAAGAAAAUGACAGUACCAUAGGAAUAAGGACCGGCUAAUUACGUG